CCUACGGGGUGCUGCAGUAGGGAAUCUUCCACAAUGGACGAAAGUCUGAUGGAGCAACGCCGCGUGAGUGAAGAAGGGUUUUGGCUCGUAAACUUCUAUUAACAGGGACGAAAGAAAUGACGGUACCUGAAUAAGAAGCCCCGGCUAACUACGUGCCAGCAGCCGCGGUAAUACGUAGGGGGCAAGCGUUAUCCGGAAUUACUGGGUGUAAAGGGUGAGUAGGCGGCAUGGUAAGCCAGAUGUGAAAGCCUUGGGCUUAACCCGAGGAUUGCAUUUGGAACUAUCAAGCUAGAGUACAGGAGAGGAAAGCGGAAUUCCUAGUGUAGCGGUGAAAUGCGUAGAUAUUAGGAAGAACACCAGUGGCGAAGGCGGCUUUCUGGACUGAAACUGACGCUGAGGCACGAAAGCGUGGGGAGCGAACAGGAUUAGAUACCCUUGUAGUC
RNAcentral lists this ribosomal RNA (443 nucleotides) under uncultured bacterium. RNAcentral describes it as "partial 16S ribosomal RNA". It matches the Rfam family "Bacterial small subunit ribosomal RNA", at positions 338 to 795 of the family's 1533-position model. The record is from RNAcentral.